This 28-nucleotide small RNA is filed under the name Bombyx mori (domestic silkworm). RNAcentral's name for it is "ovarian small RNA-37375". Lineage: Eukaryota; Metazoa; Arthropoda; Insecta; Lepidoptera; Bombycidae. The record is from RNAcentral.
UUCGACGUAAUCCGAGGGGAGCGACACC